GAUGAACGCUGGCGGCGUGCCUAAUACAUGCAAGUCGAGCGAACAGACGAGGAGCUUGCUCCUCUGACGUUAGCGGCGGACGGGUGAGUAACACGUGGAUAACCUACCUAUAAGACUGGGAUAACUUCGGGAAACCGGAGCUAAUACCGGAUAAUAUAUUGAACCGCAUGGUUCAAUAGUGAAAGACGGUUUUGCUGUCACUUAUAGAUGGAUCCGCGCCGCAUUAGCUAGUUGGUAAGGUAACGGCUUACCAAGGCAACGAUGCGUAGCCGACCUGAGAGGGUGAUCGCCCACACUGGAACUGGGACACGGUCCAGACUCCUACGGGAGGCAGCAGUAGGGAAUCUUCCGCAAUGGGCGAAAGCCUGACGGAGCAACGCCGCGUGAGUGAUGAAGGUCUUCGGAUCGUAAAACUCUGUUAUUAGGGAAGAACAAAUGUGUAAGUAACUAUGCACGUCUUGACGGUACCUAAUCAGAAAGCCACGGCUAACUACGUG
This 497-nucleotide ribosomal RNA is filed under the name uncultured bacterium. Its description in RNAcentral is "partial 16S ribosomal RNA". It matches the Rfam family "Bacterial small subunit ribosomal RNA", at positions 28 to 507 of the family's 1533-position model. The record is from RNAcentral.